CCCCCGGUGGUUUGGCAUGAGUCGACCAACCGCCUGCGCGAUCUGGUCCGCCCGCUGCGUCACUGCAGUCACAUGAGGCAACCAGGAUAGGUGGUAGUGAACCAGCACACCCAGGUGCUUUAUGCUCCUGGAGUAUGGAACUGCAGUUCCUCUCACGUCGAUGAUAAUGUGGUUUGGAGGGUGCUUCAGACUUGAGAUAAUCGUCAUCUCUGUCUUAGCUGAUGCCAGCUCCAAGUAGUGCUGCUGCAUCCACUGGUCGGCUGCUGACACCGCUGCCUCCGCCACUGCUGCAGACUCCUCCGGCGUCCUACCCGGGGCCAGGACGACGAGAUCAUCGGCGUAGCCAAUGACCUUGGCCUCGUCGGGUAGGGGAAUCCGCAGCACCCCGUCGUACAUUACCGGGAUAAUUGGCUUAUGAGACUUACGCGCUACCGACUGCGCUAUCGAGGCUGUGUGUACCGGGAUAAUUGGCUUGUGGCCUCCAAGCGUUCAUAGCGACGUGGCUUUUUGAUCCUUCGAUGUCGACUCUUCCUAUCAUUUUCAAGCAAAAUUCACCAAGUGUUGGAUUGUUUAACCUUUCAAGGGAAGGUGAGCUGGGUUUAGACCGUCGUGAGACAGGUUAGUUUUACCCUACUGAUGUGUGCUUAUAGUCGCUAUCUUAACGGAAUUCCUGUGCAGUACGAGAGGAACUACAGGUACGGAUCACUGGCUCAAUAUUAGGUACAUAAUGAGAAAUAUUACUGGUACACACGUGUAUUGUUUAAUAAUAAAAGUAUAAAAUAUGCCUCUCCCCAUAAUCCAACUUUGUGUUUUGUUUUGCAAAUCAGGAAGAUAAAUAAUUAAAAAUUAUAUGUAUUUUGAGAGACUUGGAAUGAUUUUUAUAGUCAAUGUCAUAAUAUAUUUACAUUAUUAAAAUACGAUAUUUGUGUAGUUCUUUAAAAAACGAAAACAUACUAACAUCUUUAAUU
This 968-nucleotide non-coding RNA is filed under the name Anopheles gambiae (African malaria mosquito). Its description in RNAcentral is "Eukaryotic large subunit ribosomal RNA". It matches the Rfam family "Eukaryotic large subunit ribosomal RNA", at positions 2409 to 3401 of the family's 3401-position model. Lineage: Eukaryota; Metazoa; Arthropoda; Insecta; Diptera; Culicidae. The record is from Rfam by way of RNAcentral.